GGGGGGUGGUCAUGGUACUGUACGUCGUGCUGACGUAGAUGAUGUUACUGAUCUGUUUUGGAAGCAUCAGAUGAAGCAGCUGACAUCAGCGCGGGUGUUUGUUGCGGUUUUAUCUGCAUGAAUAAGGACUUGCUCGAGCUGCACAUGCUGCUGUUGGAAUUGGAGGCUGUGGAGAAACAGAUCCACGACCUAUUUGACCAGCAGGCCAAGCUGUACAAGCGAAGAACCGUGCUAGAAACAUCUCGUACUAUCGCCUACAAAUCCACGGUAAGCACGUGGCGUGGUACUACCACUCCCAGCCCCUCUAGGCCGUGUUUUUCUCUGUGCGGGGACCGUGCACAAGGACUUAUCCACAGUACCUAAGUGAACUUUUGGUCUUCUAUGAUCUGCCACGCCUACUUCGAUCAAAAGGUGCAGGCUACAGCAGGGGGAAGAGCUUUCUCUUACAAAGCCCCACAGUUAUGGAACAGUCUUCCAAUUAGUGUUCGGGAUUCUGAUUUGGGGUUUAAGUCCAGGCUGAAAACAUAUUUGUUUAAUCAAGCUUACGAUGAGGAGACUUUAUUUCACGCAAAGUACACAGUCAUAUCCAUCGCACCUAAUAAUCUCUCCCUUUCUCCUUCUGUCGAGCCACACAUGAUUUUCUGGAGAUGCCAGUGAUCCUGACCGCUCUCCAGACCUACCUGGUCCAUGCUGAUGCCCUACAUCUGGAUGGAGCUCUCAUCAACUGGAGGCCAUGGAGGAUGACAGGACUAUGGUUGCUGCUAUGGCCUUAGGACUGCAAUUACCACAUAUAAUUUUGCACUCAAGUGUCCUUUACUUUUACACUAUGUGGUGUUACCCAGAUGAGGAUGGGUUCCUUCCUGUCUGGUUCGAGACAGUGUCCAUUGGUAAAAGUGCUCUACAAAUAAAAUGGAUUUUUUUU
Ictalurus furcatus (blue catfish) is the source of this 922-nucleotide long non-coding RNA. RefSeq lists it as uncharacterized. The record is from RefSeq and is a predicted model, not a curated record. The transcript is spliced from 2 exons. NCBI's taxonomy places the organism in Eukaryota, Metazoa, Chordata, Actinopteri, Siluriformes, Ictaluridae.